GGGAAUGACUAGCGCGUCAGCAACGGUGCACGGCUCACUCUGAGCGGAUUUUCUCUUCUUGAGACAUCUUUGUUCAGAUAGACCCUUUUCCUCUCCCUUCCACGUAUUAAUAUUGUGAGCGGAUUCAUUUGAGUACGUUCUGUCUUUCAACUUUGCGGUUCAACCAAAGAAGUUCGUUGUCAAGAUGCCUCGUGCCUCGCGCGCUUCGUCUCUAGCCAAGAUGAAGUGGAAGAGGAUUCUUCCCAUGGCGACGACUCCGGCCAGAGGCUUCGAGCCUGUGCGUGGCACUGGAGCACGUCACCGUGUCAAGCCUUGGCCGGUCUGCGGCCCACACUGGUAAGUUCCCUCGAUUGGAUCUCCCUCCUGAG
Molecule: long non-coding RNA, 368 nt
Organism: Gadus chalcogrammus (walleye pollock)
Lineage: Eukaryota; Metazoa; Chordata; Actinopteri; Gadiformes; Gadidae
Exons: 3
Source: RefSeq, a predicted model, not a curated record